RNAcentral lists this ribosomal RNA (592 nucleotides) under uncultured bacterium. RNAcentral describes it as "bacterial SSU rRNA". It matches the Rfam family "Bacterial small subunit ribosomal RNA", at positions 55 to 656 of the family's 1533-position model. The record is from RNAcentral.
AUGCAGUCGAACGGUGAUAGCAAUAUCAUAGUGGCGCACGGGUGCGUAACACGUAUGCAACCUACCUUAUACUGAGGGAUAGCCUUUCGAAAGGGAGAUUAAUACCUCAUAACACAUUGAACUGGCAUCAGUUUAUUGUUAAAGAUUUAUUGGUAUAAGAUGGGCAUGCGUCCAAUUAGUUAGUUGGCGAGGUAACGGCUCACCAAGACGAUGAUUGGUAGGGGAACUGAGAGGUUAAUCCCCCACACUGGCACUGAGAUACGGGCCAGACUCCUACGGGAGGCAGCAGUAGGGAAUAUUGGGCAAUGGAGGCAACUCUGACCCAGCCAUGCCGCGUGCAGGAAGAAGGCGUUAUGCGUUGUAAACUGCUUUUAUAUAGGAAGAAAUAGACCUUGCGAGGUAAGUUGACGGUGCUAUAUGAAUAAGCACCGGCUAACUCCGUGCCAGCAGCCGCGGUAAUACGGAGGGUGCAAGCGUUGUCCGGAUUUAUUGGGUUUAAAGGGUGCGUAGGCGGUUUAUUAAGUCAGUGGUGAAAGACGGUCGCUCAACGAUUGCAGUGCCAUUGAUACUGGUAGACUUGAGUGGGAUUGAG